This 649-nucleotide long non-coding RNA is filed under the name Homo sapiens (human). RNAcentral's name for it is "HSALNT0270042". The record is from RNAcentral. Lineage: Eukaryota; Metazoa; Chordata; Mammalia; Primates; Hominidae.
CACAAAUGCCACCAAUCAAGCCAUUUCUUUCUCAAGGGGAACUGAGUGAUUUGCAGGGUUUGGGGAAGGUUGCCUGUGCCUAAAGCAUCAUUCCGUCCCACUCUGGGAAACAUCAGCGGCCAUCCUCACUCCUGCAUGUCUGGCCAUUGGUGCUGCCUGUCAGGACAUUUGUUCUCUGACGUCUUAGGUGCUGUGCACGGAGCUCGACUAUCCUGAAUCCACCAUGAUUCGACCUCAUGUCAGUCCUUUGGCUGCCAGCCCAGUUCAACUCCAAGCUGAUGACCAGUGUCGACCGCCAGUCAUUCUGAACAUUUGACCAGUUGAGCUUUCAAAUGAUGGCAGUCCUGGCUGACAUUUUGGGUGAACAAUAUGAGAGACUGACUGGUUGAGCCCUUCCCAAAUUUCUGACCCACAACAUUGUGAGAAAAAUAAUCUUAAGCCUCUCAGUUUGGGGACAAUUUGUUACUCAGCAAUAGAAAUGAAAAUAUGAUCUCAGUAGGACCAUGUGACUUGCAGCAACCAGGGUGACAAUGAACGUCCCUGCAGAUACCCGAGGAGGGGACGCAUGAAGGUUCCCUAGGUGCCCUGUAAAUCUACAGCUUCCUGCUUUCCUCUGCCACAAACACAUGACACGCUGUACCUCUACACC